RNAcentral lists this ribosomal RNA (433 nucleotides) under uncultured bacterium. RNAcentral's name for it is "partial 16S ribosomal RNA". It matches the Rfam family "Bacterial small subunit ribosomal RNA", at positions 29 to 507 of the family's 1533-position model. The record is from RNAcentral.
AACGAACGCUGGCGGCAUGCCUAACACAUGCAAGUCGAACGAGACCUUCGGGUCUAGUGGCGCACGGGUGCGUAACGCGUGGGAACCUGCCCUUAGGUUCGGAAUAACUCAGAGAAAUUUGAGCUAAUACCGGAUAAUGUCUUCGGACCAAAGAUUUAUCGCCUUUGGAUGGGCCCGCGUAGGAUUAGCUUGUCGGUGGGGUAAUGGCCUACCAAGGCGACGAUCCUUAGCUGGUCUGAGAGGAUGAUCAGCCACACUGGGACUGAGACACGGCCCAGACUCCUACGGGAGGCAGCAGUGGGGAAUAUUGGACAAUGGGCGAAAGCCUGAUCCAGCAAUGCCGCGUGAGUGAUGAAGGCCUUAGGGUUGUAAAGCUCUUUUACCAGGGAUGAUAAUGACAGUACCUGGAGAAUAAGCUCCGGCUAACUCCGUG